Long non-coding RNA from Orcinus orca (killer whale), 1185 nucleotides. RefSeq lists it as uncharacterized. The transcript has 2 exons. The record is from RefSeq and is a predicted model, not a curated record. NCBI's taxonomy places the organism in Eukaryota, Metazoa, Chordata, Mammalia, Artiodactyla, Delphinidae.
GAGUGGGAAGAAACAGGACCCAUUCAGGGGAUCUCAGAAAUUUAGAGCUGGAGGCCAAGCCUCGGAGUCACUGCAGCCUGACCAGGUAAUCUCCCCUGAACAUCAAGGUAGCACAAACCGAGAUACUAGCCAACACUGACCGUGCACGGGCCCAGCACUGUCCACGUGCUUUACGUGCUUAUGUCAUCUCACUGAUGCUUCCCGACGUCACCACUGUUGCCGACCAGGGUUCCUGGACUCUUUAAUCAAUAGAAAUUGAUGAGAGGCCAGAGGAGGAAUUCAGGCGAGUCUUUACUGGGACUCGUGCUGCAGCAGGAGGGAGCGAAAACAAGCAACAGGUGCCCUUGCUCGCUCCCUGAGGUGGGGCGAGCUGGUCCCUUAAAUGGGGUGAGGGGGGGUUGGGCCGGAGGGACGGCUCAGGUGGUCUGCCCACCCCUUUGGUGGUGCCGUGUGCAGGGAUCAUGUGCAGGACCCUGCUUUUCCUCCCCGCCCCUCAGAAGCGGCAGUUGGGUUUUGACCUUUUUGUAUCUUCUUGUUCAUAAUUUGCCUAAACUGCGCAUGCGUGCAAGUCCCUUUUCAUUUCUUUGUAUUCUGUUGCUGGAAGAGACGUUUGUCCAGGUGCAAGCCCUGCAGUAGAGGGUCCGAGGUCCCAGCCUGCCUCAUCAUGAGCCUUCGAGGUGCGAAUUUUAUGCCGACAAGCGCCUCCAGCUCUUCCUCCACACUCUGCGAAGCUUGCAGACCUGCCCUGGAGGAACCUGCCUUAUUAGGAAGGUAAAGGGGGGGCGGUGCGAGGGUGCCGGGGCAGGGAAGGAUGGUCUCCAGGCUGACCUGAGAACAGGGUGAGUAAGAGUAUUCCGGGCCCUGCCCUCCAGGGCAGCCGCAGGUUCUCUCUGCCCUUGACCCCGUUUCAGAGGGGCGUGAGCAGCUUGGAGGGGGCACAGGUGCAGAGGGAGGCCUGGGCAGAGAAGUUUUCCUCACCAACUUGAAGGAUGGCUUGUGCAAGAAGGAAUGGUCUGGGUUUCUCUGUAUCUUUCCCGUCUUGAUCCAUGUAAAUGUGUUACUAGUCCAGAACAUACGGACAUUUAAAUUUAAGAAAGAAUGUGGUUGGUCCUUAGGUACUGAUAAUGAUUUCCAAGAAAGAAAGCUGAAAAACAAUUUGUAUAAAUCACCCCAAGCUAUGGACAA